UUUCUCCGCGUCUUAAUUUGAUCAUCUUUUUACUCCGGCUAGUCAGUACACACAACCUCAUCUAAGUUGUCACUUUGUGAGAGAUGCAGCGUGAGUGAAUUGUGAGAAUGCCGUGCUUCUCGCAGUACGAGCAGGUACGCUACUAAGAAAGAUGUUUCGUGCCAGGUUCCCAGUUGAUAUUGUGCGUGAUUGAGUGGUACGAAACCAGUAGUUGAGUGCUCUGAACUUAUCAAGGCAACUGUCGUGUGUGCACGAAGCAUUUUGCAUCAGAAUGUUACGAGGUCGUUCACUUGACGGCCGAUUUGGACUGUAAAAGUCGCUGGAAAGGGAUGCGGCACCUGCCUCGUUCGACGACAACAAAGAGGAGAGGAUAGCAACAAAGGACCAAAGUUGCGGGCCCCAGGAAAGAGGUACAUACAGCAGCACUGGUGAAGCAACGUCUGGUGCUACCAUAAUGGUGCCACAGUAUCGUGAACAUGUACAUGUGUGCACACAUGGACAACCAAUGAUAAUGGCAACCUGUUUCCGGUAAAAUGGCUCAUGAUACUCUGGCAUGUCAUGGAUAUUUGGACCAUAACGUUGCUUCACAUAUUCAUGAGCAUCAAAGUCACCAUGCAAGAUUUGCAGAUCAAGACAUUGGGAAGCUGCUUUGGCCCCACGAAGGAACUGGAACAUUCGAAGUGUUGUAGGGGAUAGUGGGUGUACUUCCCCUUCUGAAGGACAUCCCGCCAUUGUGUGCACUAAAAGUUUCCUUGUCUCAGUGCUGUUACUCGGUCAUGUAUCAAAGUAUGUCAUGGUUAUGUCCAGGGGCUUUCUGGUGCUCUGCUCGAUCUCUGUGGACGAUAGCUGUUCAUGAGCCCCCGAACAGAAGGAAGAGACUACACAAGGGGGGCUCACCGCAAGAGUUACAGUGAAUGAGUAAACGCUAACAACUCUGCAAGGCAUUAAAUGCAAGUCGACAGCAGAAGGGCUUCGGCGAACAUGUACAAACAGUCUCAUACCUAGGAUUUUUAGUUUUUGGCAUUUCAUUCGCCAUUAAUCGGUGGCUUCUGUAGAAGCGUAGGGGAUGGGGAAACCAACACAAGAUUUUGGAGCACACAGUAAAUGGUACUCCAUGUUCCUUAGCCAUUUUUACUACAUGAAGUGCCAGGGAAAAAUCAAAGGGGUUGGGACGCUUUCAUAGACGUGGUUUGUUACAUCAUGGGUGCGUCAUGCAUUGCGCUCCAUAAUGCUGAUCAAUCUGUUUUUUUUUUUUUUUCAUGUGUCAUAUUUCGUGAGAUAAAAGCUCUCGAACAGAUGCCUGACUAACGCACGAAUGUCAAGGACCUCAGAAAUACAGCCAAUUCCACUGAUAGCCCUGAGGUCUGUGACGUCAGAGCUGCUUGAGCUUUGCUAUUCAAGGUGCCCAUUUUCUACACUCUAUUCCAACCUUGGUUUGUAAAACACACAUUGGUACGAAGAAGCUUUUAUGUUCAUGUGGGAUGGUGGUGUUGCAACCCCUUUCACUGGUUUGUGGGGAAUGACCUGAUUCUGCACCUAAGACUUACCACAGAACACCUGAACUGACACCUGUGUUCUGUCCAUCUUGCAGUGUGCUUGUUUACCUGUUGCGAGGGAUUAUGGGGGGAGUCAGAUAGUUUUAUGAUCUCUGUGUAUUCAAUAAAAUUAUGGUAUAUUCAGUGUUACGUGUAAAAUUACAGUAUCUGUGGAAUGUGUGGAGGUGUGCAUUGAUUCAAGAAGUAAAUCGGCUCCUGAAACCAGCAUGCAGAUCCAGAUGUAA
Molecule: long non-coding RNA, 1780 nt
Organism: Ornithodoros turicata
Lineage: Eukaryota; Metazoa; Arthropoda; Arachnida; Ixodida; Argasidae
Exons: 4
Source: RefSeq, a predicted model, not a curated record